AGUAUGGGGGACAACGCGCGGAAACGCACGCUAAUACCGCAUACGCUCUACGGAGGAAAGCGGGGGCUCUUCGGACCUCGCGCUACUAGAUAGGCCUAUAUUGGAUUAGCUAGUUGGUAAGGUAAAGGCUUACCAAGGCGACGAUCCAUAGCUGGUUUGAGAGAAUGACUCAGCCACACUGGGUACUGAGACGACGGGCCGAG
RNAcentral lists this ribosomal RNA (203 nucleotides) under uncultured bacterium. RNAcentral's name for it is "partial 16S ribosomal RNA". It matches the Rfam family "Bacterial small subunit ribosomal RNA", at positions 132 to 334 of the family's 1533-position model. The record is from RNAcentral.